Cinara cedri is the source of this 223-nucleotide non-coding RNA. The record is from the annotation of a GenBank genome assembly. NCBI's taxonomy places the organism in Eukaryota, Metazoa, Arthropoda, Insecta, Hemiptera, Aphididae.
GAAGAAAAAAAAAAGCGUUAGAAAACGGGUUAUUACCGAUAGUGAUUUGCAAUACCUACUCACGAUAAUCGAUUUCAAACGUCGGAUCCGGUACGCCUGGUUGUGUAUCGGUAGCAACGGCGUCGAGCGUCGGCUUGCCUCCAAUUAUUCGGUUGUUAUUUUUUUACGCGGACGAUCGCAACGGCCGAUAAGCCGGACCGAGAGAAUAGUCCGACAAGAGGAC